GACGAACGCUGGCGGCGUGCUUAACACAUGCAAGUCGAGCGGUAAGGCCCUUUCGGGGGUACACGAGCGGCGAACGGGUGAGUAACACGUGGGUGACCUGCCCUCAGCUCUGGGAUAAGCCUGGGAAACCGGGUCUAAUACUGGAUAUGACUCCAUGACGCAUGUUGUGGGGUGGAAAGCCUUGUGCGGCUGAGGAUGGGCCCGCGGCCUAUCAGCUUGUUGGUGGGGUGANGGCCUACCAAGGCGACGACGGGUAGCCGGCCUGAGAGGGCGACCGGCCACACUGGGACUGAGACACGGGCCCAGACUCCUACGGGAGGCAGCAGUGGGGAAUCUUGCGCAAUGGGCGAAAGCCUGACGCAGCGACGCCGCGUGAGGGAUGAC
RNAcentral lists this ribosomal RNA (384 nucleotides) under uncultured bacterium. RNAcentral describes it as "bacterial SSU rRNA". It matches the Rfam family "Bacterial small subunit ribosomal RNA", at positions 28 to 412 of the family's 1533-position model. The record is from RNAcentral.